AUCCAGCUGACGUAUCCAGAAUAGGAAGAGACGCGCUUUCUGGAU
This 45-nucleotide non-coding RNA is filed under the name Schistosoma haematobium. Lineage: Eukaryota; Metazoa; Platyhelminthes; Trematoda; Strigeidida; Schistosomatidae. The record is from RNAcentral.